GAUGAACGCUGGCGGCGUGCCUAAUACAAGCAAGUCGAGCGAACAGACGAGGAGCUUGCUCCUCUGACGUUAGCGGCGGACGGGUGAGUAACACGUGGAUAACCUACCUAUAAGACUGGGAUAACUUCGGGAAACCGGAGCUAAUACCGGAUAAUAUAUUGAACCGCAUGGUUCAAUAGUGAAAGACGGUUUUGCUGUCACUUAUAGAUGGAUCCGCGCCGCAUUAGCUAGUUGGUAAGGUAACGGCUUACCAAGGCAACGAUGCGUAGCCGAUCUGAGAGGGUGAUCGGCCACACUGGAACUGAGACACGGUCCAGACUCCUACGGGAGGCAGCAGUAGGGAAUCUUCCGCAAUGGGCGAAAGCCUGACGGAGCAACGCCGCGUGAGUGAUGAAGGUCUUCGGAUCGUAAAACUCUGUUAUUAGGGAAGAACAAAUGUGUAAGUAACUAUGCACGUCUUGACGGUACCUAAUCAGAAAGCCACGGCUAACUACGUG
Molecule: ribosomal RNA, 497 nt
Filed under: uncultured bacterium
Lineage: Bacteria
Description: partial 16S ribosomal RNA
Rfam family: Bacterial small subunit ribosomal RNA
Source: RNAcentral